CUUGGAAUGUAUCCCUAAUUAGUUAAUUAGUGAGACUGGGGCAAGGUGUUACAUGUGUUGUGUUCUAUUCAAAGCCCUGGCAGGUAUUCUCUCGUAGAUCAGAUAUGAAACUUGGGUGCUGUGAUGGUGAAUUUACGAGUUUCCCUGAAGCAGAAUCACAUCACAGCAAAAGAUUACUGAAGGAGUAACAGCGAAGUAGGAUGAUACAGUGGAUACAUGGAAUUGGUUAUGUAGCAGACAUAUCUGGAUAAUUGCUACACUACAUGGAAAAAACAGCAGCCGCAGACAUGAGUGAAGAGACCUGGAGUACAAAA
Molecule: long non-coding RNA, 314 nt
Organism: Clupea harengus (Atlantic herring)
Lineage: Eukaryota; Metazoa; Chordata; Actinopteri; Clupeiformes; Clupeidae
Exons: 3
Source: RefSeq, a predicted model, not a curated record